GCAUCUGCAAAAAAAAUAUAUUUAUUUGUUUUGAUAAGAAGAAACGGAAAAAAUCGGUGAAAAAUGAAAGAAAACACGCAGAAAACAAAGCAAGAUAAAUGGCCGCUGAAAUUUGUCGGGGACUCGACCAUGGCCUAGAAACCUUUUUGCCUCGUCCCUCGUUCGAAAAAAGUUGCAGUGGUUUUAUUCAUUUUGCAGUUAAGGUUAUUUUUUCGAAUGCCAGUUCCAACUCCACUCUCGGAAUUCGUUUCUUCCAAAGUUGCCACGUUUAGCAACAUUCAAAGAUUCUUGAAUCUCGACGGAAAUGAGCAUCUUGCCGUCGCCGCUCUUCAAGACAGUCGGGUAAUGGGAAUUCCAGAAGCGACCGGCCCUGAAGCACCAGCUGGAGCGAUGACUGUUCAGUAAUAUAUCGUUCAAAACUCUACGACCGAUCCUGAUUCGAAGUUCGGCUGCCCGCAAUGCCACAAAAUGAUCAAAUGGUGCCAGAUGGAUCAUCACAUUUUCAAUGCACACGUCGUGAAGAAACCCUUUCGCUGCACAAUCUGAAGUUCGGAUUAUUGUGACAAGGAUGGAGCUGUUGCUCAUGCUGUGAAUUGUCACGACUUGUCAAGAGAAGAAGCAAAAACCAAGUCCAGAAAGAGAACUGAGUCGGAAACCAAAAAAAAGAUGGAGAGAAUGAUGAACGAUGCUAAGGAAGGUUUCUCGUACUGAUGGAUCUCACAUGUGCUCUCUAUUUUUUUGUUUCUCUUAAAAUUUGACGUUUUUUCUCCCUUUUGAGCCCCCUUUCAAUAUCGAUUUUUAAUCUGGUCACUUUUUUCUGGUUUUUUUUUUGCUAGAUUUAGACCUUCACCCUCCUCUCGACAAACGUGUAGAAUUGCUAAUUUGACCCCCUCCCAGUAAUUCACAAUUUCCUGUGGAGCCAUCCGAUCUCACAUGUGCUCUCUAUUUUUUUUGUUUCUUCUAAAAGAUGUACAAUCACUUUAUGAAAGGAAAUCCAACAAAUUCUACGGAGACGACACCAUUCUCACAGGAAAAUGUUUUCACUUGGAACAUCUGGAUAGUUGCAUCAACUUCGAAAUUUUCUUCGAGAAACAGUUUUUGGUGGAAUUUUUUAAAGAGAAAAGCGGAUUUAUCAAGUUUUUUCGUGAUCUCGUUCUCUGAUUUUUUUUAAAACAAUUUUUUUGAAUAAAUUAAAUUUUUUUA
Molecule: unclassified non-coding RNA, 1203 nt
Filed under: Caenorhabditis elegans
Lineage: Eukaryota; Metazoa; Nematoda; Chromadorea; Rhabditida; Rhabditidae
Description: Non-coding transcript of protein-coding gene C50D2.10b
Source: RNAcentral